UAAUAGGGUAUAUUAAAGUUGUUGCAGUUAAAAAGCUCGUAGUUGAAUGUUGGUGUCGAACGAGCGGUCAGCUUCGGCUGUACUGCUCUCUCGACUCCUUCCUUCUGUGGACUACGUCGCACUUUACUGUGUGGCGCUAGGACGCAGAUCGUUUACUGUGAAAAAAUUAGAGUGUUCAAAGCAGGCCGUACGCUUGAAUACAUUAGCAUGGAAUAAUGGAAUAGGACGUCGGGCCUAUUUUGUUGGUUCUAGGACCGUCGUAAUGAUUAAUAGGGACAGUUGGGGCCGUUUAUAUUCCGUAGUCAGAGGUGAAAUUCUUGGAUUUACGGAAGAUAAACUACUGCGAAAGCAUUCGGCAAGGAUGUUUUCGUUAA
This 374-nucleotide ribosomal RNA is filed under the name uncultured eukaryote. RNAcentral's name for it is "partial 18S ribosomal RNA". It matches the Rfam family "Eukaryotic small subunit ribosomal RNA", at positions 592 to 976 of the family's 1831-position model. The record is from RNAcentral.